GAAGGUAAAGCUCAGUGGUAGAGCGCAUGCUUAGCGUACACAGUUCCUGGGUUCUAUCCCCAGUACCUCCA
Molecule: transfer RNA, 71 nt
Filed under: Camelus bactrianus (Bactrian camel)
Lineage: Eukaryota; Metazoa; Chordata; Mammalia; Artiodactyla; Camelidae
Also listed under: 1 other name
Rfam family: tRNA
About the family: Transfer RNA (tRNA) molecules are approximately 80 nucleotides in length. Their secondary structure includes four short double-helical elements and three loops (D, anti-codon, and T loops).
Source: Rfam by way of RNAcentral